AAUUUUGGACAAUGGGGGCAACCCUGAUCCAGCCAUCCCGCGUGUGCGAUGAAGGCCGUCGGGUUGUAAAGCACUUUUGUUAGGGAAGAAAAGGCUCUGGCUAAUACCUGGAGUUGCUGCCGGUACCUGCCGAAUAAGCACCGGCCAACUCCGUGCCCGCAGCCGCGGUAAUACGUAGGGUGGAAGCGUUAAUCGGAAUUACUGGGCGUAAAGCGUGCGCAGGCGGUUCGGCAAGAAAGAUGUGAAAUCCCAGGGCUUAACCUUGGAACUGCAUUCUUAACUGCCGGGCUAGAGUAUGUCAGAGGGGGGUAGAAUUCCGCGUGUAGCAGUGAAAUGCGUAGAGAUGCGGAGGAAUACCGAUGGCGAAGGCAGCCCCCUGGGAUAAUACUGACGCUCAUGCACGAGAGCGUGGGUAGCAAAC
Molecule: ribosomal RNA, 421 nt
Filed under: uncultured bacterium
Lineage: Bacteria
Description: partial 16S ribosomal RNA
Rfam family: Bacterial small subunit ribosomal RNA
Source: RNAcentral